AAGUCGUAACAAGGUAACCGUAGGUGAACCUGCGGUUGGAUCAUUAAUAAAUUUAUAAAAAGUUUAUAACCCUAACAGGUUAUAAAUCCUUUUUUAACAUUUUGUGAACUGUUUAUUGUCUCUGGUGGGGCUUAAAGGAUUUUUUUAGUAAAAUCUGAAAUUAUUUUAAUUCAUUAAGGUAAUUUUACCCACCAACCAAAAAUUGAACUUUUUAUUUUUAAUAUUAUUUUGUCUUGAAUUAAAUUAUUAUCUAAUUUAAACAACUUUUGACAACGGAUCUCUAGGCUCUC
RNAcentral lists this unclassified non-coding RNA (290 nucleotides) under fungal sp. RNAcentral's name for it is "partial internal transcribed spacer region". The stretch from base 1 to 46 matches the Rfam family "Eukaryotic small subunit ribosomal RNA", at positions 1786 to 1831 of the family's 1831-position model. Lineage: Eukaryota; Fungi. The record is from RNAcentral.